This 468-nucleotide ribosomal RNA is filed under the name uncultured bacterium. Its description in RNAcentral is "partial 16S ribosomal RNA". It matches the Rfam family "Bacterial small subunit ribosomal RNA", at positions 28 to 507 of the family's 1533-position model. The record is from RNAcentral.
GACGAACGCUGGCGGCGUGCUUAACACAUGCAAGUCGAACGGAAAGGCCCUGCUUUUGUGGGGUGCUCGAGUGGCGAACGGGUGAGUAACACGUGAGUAACCUGCCCUUGACUUUGGGAUAACUUCAGGAAACUGGGGCUAAUACCGGAUAGGAGCUCCUGCUGCAUGGUGGGGGUUGGAAAGUUUCGGCGGUUGGGGAUGGACGCGCGGCUUAUCAGCUUGUUGGUGGGGUAGGGGCUUACCAAGGCUUUGACGGGUAGCCGGCCUGAGAGGGUGACCGGCCUCAUGGGGACUGCGAUACGGCGCAGAGUCCUACGGGAGGCAGCAGUCGGGAAUAUUGCACAAUGGGCGGAAGCCUGAUGCAGCAACGCCGCGUGCGGGAUGACGGCCUUCGGGUUGUAAACCGCCUUCGCCUGUGACGAAGCGUGAGUGACGGUAAUGGGUAAAGAAGCACCGGCUAACUACGUG